CAGCAACCGCGGUUAUACAAAUAAUGCAAAUAAAAUUUAUUAAUAAUAGUUAAUUUGUUUUAUUUAAUUUUAUUUUAAAUUUUUUAAGUGAAAUUUUAAAUUUAAUUAAUUUAAAAUAAAUGAAGCUAGUAAAUUUUAGUGAUAAACUAGGAUUAGAUACCCUAUUAUUUAAAAAGUAUUUUUUUUUUGUUUGAGUAGUAAUAGUUAUGUUCUUAAAACUUAAAAAAUUUGGCGGUGUUUUAGUCUAUUUAGAGGAACCUGUCCUGUAAUCGAUAAUCCACGUUGGACCUUACUAACUUUUGUUUUCAAUUUGUAUAUCGCCGUUAUCAGAAUAUCUUAAAAAAGAAAAAAUUUUCUUAAUUUAUUAAUAAAAAUGAUGUCAGGUCAAGGUGCAGUUUAUAUUUUAGAAGAGAUGGGUUACAAUAAAAUUAUUUAUACGAAGAAUUUUAUUGAAAAAUAAAUUUAAAGGUGGAUUUAAAAGUAAAGUAAUAAAU
Molecule: ribosomal RNA, 494 nt
Filed under: Simulium connae
Lineage: Eukaryota; Metazoa; Arthropoda; Insecta; Diptera; Simuliidae
Description: partial 12S ribosomal RNA
Source: RNAcentral